UGUAAUAACCUAGCGAAGGGCACAGAUCUCACUGACCGAAAACAUUUUUCCCCGCUCUGAAAAAACGACUCCUCGCCGGAAGGAAGAAGGAAACCUUCAAUCACCAACUUCAACCCACUUCAAGAAUACGAGUCCGGUGACAGAAAUGUUGAUUUCCCUUUAAGAUUCCACCGGGAUUACAGCCUGUGCCUCAAGUUCCGGCGUCAAUACGAGCUCCGACGAGGAGGCGGCAUCAUUUCUGGAACUGGGACGUAGGCGGAGACGAUGAGCAGAAAUCUCAGAUCCUCCGCCGCAAUGUCUCAUCGGAAUAACCCUAAACCCCUCCCGUUGGUUGUUACUCUCAACUGCAUCGAAGAUUGUUCGCUGGAACAGGAUUGUUUGGCCGGCGUUGCUGUGGUGGAGCAUGUGCCGCUUAGUCGUUUGGCAGACGGGAAAAUCGAGUCGGCUACGGCUGUGCUUCUUCAUUCACUUGCUUACCUCCCGCGGGCUGCUCAGCGCCGGCUUCAUCCUUGCCAUCUCAUCCUAUGUCUCGGUUCUGCUGAUCGCUCUGUCGAUUCUGCUUUGGCUGCGGAUCUCGGUCUCCGUCUGGUUCACGUUGAUACUUCUCGAGCGGAGGAAAUUGCCGACUCCGUCAUGGCGCUUUUUCUUGGAUUGCUUCGCCGUACUCAUCUACUCUCUCGCCAUACACUCUCGGCUUCGGGAUGGCUCGGGUCUAUCCAACCUCUUUGCCGUGGCAUGAGACGCUGUCGAGGAUUGGUUUUGGGGAUAGUUGGUAGAUCUUCUUCGGCUCGGGCUUUAGCUACGAGGAGCUUAGCCUUCAAGAUUAGCGUGCUCUAUUUUGAUGUCAAUGAUGGAAAAGUGAGCAAGUCUACAGCAACAUUUCCAUCUGCUGCUCGAAGAAUGGAUACUCUUAAUGAUUUGCUUGCUGCAAGUGAUCUUAUAUCACUUCACUGUGCCCUAACAAAUGACACAGUUCAGAUUAUCAAUGCUGAAUGUCUGCAGCACAUAAAGCCUGGGGCAUUUCUUGUUAAUACUGGUAGCAGCCAAUUAUUGGAUGAUUGUGCUGUGAAGCAACUUCUGAUUGACGGAACCUUGGCUGGCUGUGCUCUGGAUGGUGCUGAAGGGCCACAGUGGAUGGAAGCAUGGGUGAAAGAAAUGCCAAAUGUUUUGAUACUUCCCCACAGUGCAGAUUAUAGUGAAGAAGUUUGGAUGGAGAUCAGGGAGAAAUGCGUCUCCAUAUUACAAGCAUUCUUUGUUGAUGGGGUAGUUCCUGAGAAUGCCAUCUCUGAUGAGGAUGAGGAUGAAAGUGAAGUUAGUGAGGUAAAAGAACAAUCUGAUGGUCGUGGUAUAGAAGGCACCCUUCAGCUUGCUGUGGUUGAGCAGUUGGCUGAUGAUAACCAUUUAAGUCCAGAGAGCUCCCAGAAGAAAGGGUUGAAUCUCUCACCGGAGUCAUCCAGUCAGCCCCACAGUUCCAGUUUGUCUCAAACUACUGUCACCAGGUCUGAUGGAAGACGCAGUAGGUCCGGUAAGAAAGCCAAAAAAAGGCACACACGUCAAAAAUCUCAACAGAAAGAUGAUUCUCACGCGUUAGAAAAGGAAAGUACCUCUCAUCGAGAAGAUGAUACUGCUAUGAGUAGCACAGAUCAAGUAUUAAGUUCAAGCUCUCGAUUUGCUUCCCCUGAUGAAUCGAGAAACAGGAAAGUUCCUAUGGAGUCUAUGCAAGAAUCUACCUCAGAUCUAUCACUUAAAUCAAAAAAGAAAUUAGUUAGGAAGUCUAUUAGUCAGCUGAAAGACGGGUAUAUUGUUGCCAUAUAUGCUAGAGAUCGUCCUGCAGUCCAUGUAUCCCGGCAAAGAGUUAAAGGUGGUGGUUGGUUUCUUGAUACCAUGACUGAUGUGACAAAAAGAGACCCCGCUGCACAGUUUCUGGUUGUUUUUAGAAACAAGGAUACAAUUGGUCUCCGAUCUCUCUCUGCUGGUGGGAAGUUAUUGCAGAUAAAUCGUAGAACGGAGUUUGUAUUUGCUAGCCACAGUUUUGAUGUUUGGGAGAGUUGGAUGCUUGAAGGCUCUCUGGAAGAAUGUAGGCUGGUCAAUUGUAGAAACCCAUUGGCACUUUUGGAUGUGCGCAUUGAAGUCCUUGCAACUGUAGGUGAUGAUGGAGUUACCCGCUGGCUAGAUUAGAAGUAUUCAAAAUUUCCACCUCAUUUGUCCACUAAUUAAAGAGACGGCUGGACCAGGCCAGAAUGUUCUGAUGCCAUUUCCUUCCCUGCCGGCUAUGGGCGACGCAGAGUUUGGAGGUGACUAUUUUAGGUUUGUACAUUUUCUGUUGUAACUAAUUUGAAUCUAUGAAGUAUGUGUAUGGCUACAUGGGAUUUGUUGGUAGAUUUGUUUACGGUCUCAUGACAACGGGUUGAGGGUUAACUCAUGCAAGGCAAGAGUUUGGCUAGCAAACUUAAAGAGUGAUUAGGACAAUGAAUAGAGUUGUGAAGUUGUGGGUAUAUGGUGUAAGGAUUUUUUUUUUAAUCACACGGGACAAGUAGAGAAUCAAACAAUUUGUUUCGACUAGAUAAUUUUAAGAUUCUUCAUUAUUUCUACCAUCAAAAAGUUGUAAGAUCCAUGGUCUUUUUAGCAACCUAAAGGAAUCAAUUUGAAGGCAAA
Molecule: RNA transcript, 2655 nt
Organism: Benincasa hispida (wax gourd)
Lineage: Eukaryota; Viridiplantae; Streptophyta; Magnoliopsida; Cucurbitales; Cucurbitaceae
Gene: AN
Gene name: NAD(P)-binding Rossmann-fold superfamily protein
Source: RefSeq, a predicted model, not a curated record